Molecule: ribosomal RNA, 1046 nt
Filed under: Muscardinus avellanarius (hazel dormouse)
Lineage: Eukaryota; Metazoa; Chordata; Mammalia; Rodentia; Gliridae
Description: partial 16S ribosomal RNA
Rfam family: Bacterial large subunit ribosomal RNA
Source: RNAcentral
AAGUAAGAAUUUCAGUUCAACUUUAAUCUUACCUAAAGAAUAAAGAAUCCACUUGUAAGAUUAAAUUAUAUUCUAAAGAGGGACAGCUCUUUAGAUAAGGAAAUAACCUGAUUUAGAGAGUAAAUUAUUACUUCAUACCACAGUUGGCUUAAGAGCAGCCAUCAGUUAAGAAAGCGUUCAAGCUCAACAUAUCCAUUCUUCUUAAUUUUAAUAGACUAGUUCAACUCCUAUAUCCUCAAUUGGGUUAAUCUAUUACAUAAUAGAAGCAAUAAUGUUAAUAUGAGUAACAAGAAAAAUUUUCUCCUAGCAUAAACUUAUAUCAAUUCUAAUAUCAUUGAUAGUUAACAUUAUAAUAUUAUUAUACAAACUAAUAAUCAUAUUUAUUAUUAUGUUAAUCCAACACAGGAAUGCACCACUCAAGGAAAGAUUAAAAGAAGUAAAAGGAACUCGGCAAACAUUAACCCCGCCUGUUUACCAAAAACAUCACCUCUAGCAUCUCAAGUAUUAGAGGCACUGCCUGCCCAGUGACAUAUGUUCAACGGCCGCGGUAUCCUGACCGUGCAAAGGUAGCAUAAUCAUUUGUUCCUUAAUUAGGGACUUGUAUGAAUGGCUUAACGAGGGUUUAACUGUCUCUUACUUCUAAUCAGUGAAAUUGACUUCCCAGUGAAGAGGCUGGGAUAAUCCAAUAAGACGAGAAGACCCUAUGGAGCUUAAAUUAACUAGCUUAAUUACCCUAUCAACACUUCUGUAGAUACAUAAUGCAAAGUAUUAAUAAGCUACCAAUUUCGGUUGGGGUGACCUCGGAGAACAAAUUAACCUCCGAAAGAUAAAAACUAGACAAACCAGUCAAAUCUAUCAAAUUUAUCAUAUUGACCCAAAAUACUUGAUCAACGGAACAAGUUACCCUAGGGAUAACAGCGCAAUCCUAUUUUAGAGUUCAUAUCGACAAUAGGGUUUACGACCUCGAUGUUGGAUCAGGACAUCCUAAUGGUGCAACCGCUAUUAAAGGUUCGUUUGUUCACGAUUAAUAGUCCUACGUGAUCUGA